GGAGAGGUGACCGAGUGGCUGAAGGUGACGGUCUCGAAAACCGUUGUACUCCGUAAGGGGUACCGUGGGUUCGAAUCCCACCCUCUCCGCCA
RNAcentral lists this transfer RNA (92 nucleotides) under Acetobacteraceae bacterium. RNAcentral's name for it is "tRNA-Ser". It matches the Rfam family "tRNA". From Rfam's summary of the family: Transfer RNA (tRNA) molecules are approximately 80 nucleotides in length. Their secondary structure includes four short double-helical elements and three loops (D, anti-codon, and T loops). The record is from RNAcentral. Lineage: Bacteria; Pseudomonadati; Pseudomonadota; Alphaproteobacteria; Acetobacterales; Acetobacteraceae. RNAcentral also lists the same sequence under 3 other names.